GUCAGCUUUCCCUAAGGCGGCCAUCAAGCGGCCCUGGAUGUGUGUGAGAAAUGGGGAGAAAUGCCACCCCUGCAGCCCAAGCACAUGAGGGAGGCCGUCCGGAGGUUGAAGUCCAAGGGGCAAAUCCCCAACUCAAAGCACAAGAAAAUCACCUUCUUCUAGAUCUAACGGAGACUGUUGCAGGCUCAUCACCGCUGGGCUUCUGUGCUGAGGCGUUGUUGGCGGCGUGCCAGGACGCAUGAUGCUGACUUUAAUGUUUCUGUUCCACCUGCAAGGCAUGCAGUGGGACUCAGACUUCAGUCAGUCACAGACUAUCCUCGGGCAUGGUGAAGACUCUUUGCUAGUUUGAAGAAAUAUACAGGGGCCAUUAGUAUCUUCUGGAGAGGGAGGUGGUUUCAGAGAAAAACAAGAGACUCUAAUGGCUUCACAUUGAAGCCUAAAGUUGCUAAGAUUCAGGUUGUUUCUUGCUCUGGAUUUCGAAACAUAAACUUGCAAUCAUCUGCCGUGUAGUAUUUCAGGUUCUCCUGUGUAUUGUGUGAGGGAUCGGUAAACUUUUCCAACCUGUA
This 566-nucleotide long non-coding RNA is filed under the name Rattus norvegicus (Norway rat). RNAcentral's name for it is "long non-coding RNA NONRATT017624". The record is from RNAcentral. Lineage: Eukaryota; Metazoa; Chordata; Mammalia; Rodentia; Muridae.